RNAcentral lists this ribosomal RNA (471 nucleotides) under uncultured bacterium. RNAcentral's name for it is "partial 16S ribosomal RNA". It matches the Rfam family "Bacterial small subunit ribosomal RNA", at positions 28 to 507 of the family's 1533-position model. The record is from RNAcentral.
GACGAACGCUGGCGGCGUGCUUAACACAUGCAAGUCGAACGGAAAGGCCCUGCUUGCAGGGUGCUCGUGUGGCGAACGGGUGAGUAACACGUGGGUGAUCUGCCCCUUACUUUGGGAUAAGUAUGGUAAACUGGGUCUAAUACUGGAUAGGACCAUGCUGUAGGUGGUGUGGUGGAAAGAUUUUUUCGGUAAGGGAUGAGCUUGCGGCCUAUCGGCUUGUUGGUGGGGUAAUGGCCUACCAAGGCGUCGACGGGUAGCCGGCCUGAGAGGGGGGACGGCGACACUGUGACGAAGCCACGGGGAGGACGCCGACGGGAGUCAGCAGUGAGGAGUAAAGCCCUGAGGGAGCAAGCCUGAUGCAGCGACGCCGCGUGGGGGAUGACAGAAUUCGGGUUGUAGGCACCUUUCAGCCAUGACGAAGCCUCGUAUGUGGUGACGGUAGUGAUAGAAGAAGCAACGGCUAACUACGUG